UACCAGCUCUCCGAGUUGUAGGGAUGAUUAUUGGGCUUAAAGCGUCCGUAGCCGGCUUGGCAAGUCUCCUGUUAAAUUCAGCGACCUAAUCGUUGAGCCGCGGGAGAUACUACUAGGCUAGGAGGCGGGAGAGGUCGACGGUACUUUCGGGGUAGGGGUGAAAUCCUAUAAUCCCGGGAGGACCACCAGUGGCGAAGGCUGUCGACUAGAACGCGCUCGACGGUGAGGGACGAAAGCUGGGGGAGCGAACCGGAUUAGAUACCCGGGUAGUCCCAGCUGUAAACGAUGCGGGCUAGGUGUUGGGGUGGCUACGGGCCACUUCAGUGCCGCAGGGAAGCCAUUAAGCCCGCCGCCUGGGGAGUACGGCCGCAAGGCUGAAACUUAAAGGAAUUUGGCGGGGGAGCCACCACGGAGGGCGUGAAGCUUAGGCGGUUC
This 435-nucleotide ribosomal RNA is filed under the name uncultured archaeon. Its description in RNAcentral is "bacterial SSU rRNA". It matches the Rfam family "Archaeal small subunit ribosomal RNA", at positions 474 to 912 of the family's 1478-position model. The record is from RNAcentral.